GACGAACGCUGGCGGCGUGCUUAACACAUGCAAGUCGAACGAUGAAGAAAAGAAUUGAAGCUUCGGCAGAAAUUCAUUUCGGAUUAGUGGCAGACGGGUGAGUAACGCGUGAGCAACCUACCUCUUACAAAGGGAUAGCCUCGGGAAACCGGGAUUAAUACCAUAUAACAUUGCGACGAAGCAUUUCGAUGCAAUCAAAGCUACGGCGGUAAGAGAUGGGCUCGCGUCCCAUUAACCAGGUGGUGAGGUAACGGCUCACCAUAGUAACGAUGGGUAACCGGCCUGAGAGGGUGAACGGUCACACUGGAACUGAGACACGGUCCAGACUCCUACGGGAGGCAGCAGUGGGGAAUAUUGCACAAUGGAGGGAACUCUGAUGCAGCGACGCCGCGUGAGUGAUGAAGGAAUUCGUUUCGCAAAACUCUGUUCUAUGGGAAGAAAAGGACUGUACCAUAGGAGAAAGCUCCGGCUAAAUACGUG
Molecule: ribosomal RNA, 480 nt
Filed under: uncultured bacterium
Lineage: Bacteria
Description: partial 16S ribosomal RNA
Rfam family: Bacterial small subunit ribosomal RNA
Source: RNAcentral